GGGGAAAGAGGCGGAGCGGGCGACGACUGGGCGACUCGGAGAGCGGUUCCCCAAGCGGCCCUCGGAGUCGGGUGGCCUCAGUGACCUGGGAGUACCGCGACUUUUGAUUCCGUGUCAGGUGGAGUGCCAAUAUCGGAACUUAAUUGAUGACAAGACUCAGUCCCGACACAAAUGAAGUAUCCGGUAUUUUCUUCAGCUACAGCAUUGGCGUGUAAUCCACUAAAGGCACAGCCUGAUCACCUCAUCAACUUUGUCUGAAGUUGGGUCCAGCAUUGACUUGAGGAGGGGCACCCUACCACCUUCAAGGCAGGCAAACUACCAUUUGGACCAAUUGCCUAUCAUUCCCCAGGUACUGCACAAGUUAAAAUGUAACAAGGAUUUACAUUCUGUCAUCUGAAAUUUCCCAUCUCAGAUUUUAUUUUUAAUUUGGUGGAUAAUUUCAUUUUUUAAACCGAGAGCUCCCAUCAGGAAGUUCUUCUCUGUAUG
This is a long non-coding RNA of Ahaetulla prasina, 486 nucleotides long. RefSeq lists it as uncharacterized. The record is from RefSeq and is a predicted model, not a curated record. Lineage: Eukaryota; Metazoa; Chordata; Lepidosauria; Squamata; Colubridae. The transcript has 3 exons.